This 465-nucleotide ribosomal RNA is filed under the name uncultured bacterium. RNAcentral's name for it is "partial 16S ribosomal RNA". It matches the Rfam family "Bacterial small subunit ribosomal RNA", at positions 28 to 507 of the family's 1533-position model. The record is from RNAcentral.
GACGAACGCUGGCGGCGUGCUUAACACAUGCAAGUCGAACGGAAAGGCCCCUUUGGGGGUACUCGAGUGGCGAACGGGUGAGUAACACGUGAGUAACCUGCCCUUGACUUCGGGAUAACUUCAGGAAACUGGGGCUAAUCCCGGAUAGGAAUCCUUGCUGCAUGGUGGGGGUUGGAAAGCUUCGGCGGUUUUGGAUGGACUCGCGGCUUAUCAGCUUGUUGGUGGGGUAGUGGCUUACCAAGGCUUUGACGGGUAGCCGGCCUGGGAGGGCGACCGGCCACAUUGGGACUGGGAUACGGACCAGACUCCUACGGGAGGCAGCAGUGGGGAAUAUUGCACAAUGGGCGGAAGCCUGAUGCAGCAACGCCGCGGGCGGGAUGAUGGGCUUCUGGUUGGAAACGGCUUUCAGCAGGAGCGAAGCAUGUGGUGACGGUACCUGCAGAAGAAGCACCGGCUAACUACGUG